AUGUGCCACUCGUACAUUCCGGUUCUUGCGCACUUACCUGACGACUGCUCGCUACAUCUUGUCAGCC
RNAcentral lists this small RNA (67 nucleotides) under Xanthomonas sp. NCPPB 1560. RNAcentral's name for it is "sX9 sRNA". It matches the Rfam family "Xanthomonas sRNA sX9". The record is from RNAcentral. RNAcentral also lists the same sequence under 7 other names. Lineage: Bacteria; Pseudomonadati; Pseudomonadota; Gammaproteobacteria; Lysobacterales; Lysobacteraceae.